Molecule: non-coding RNA, 408 nt
Organism: Pelobates cultripes (western spadefoot toad)
Lineage: Eukaryota; Metazoa; Chordata; Amphibia; Anura; Pelobatidae
Source: the annotation of a GenBank genome assembly
CUCACCCACGUGGAUGACCAAUACUUCCGGGUUCAAUCAGUCUUCGUGCUGUCUUCACAAUUCAUUGUUAAUAAAUUGUGGAUCCUUCCAUCAUUGGGACCUUCCUGUCUGUUCCACAUAAAUUAAGGAGGAAGAAACUAGAAGGAUAUGUGAAUAGUGGGUGGUUGAUCUCCCCUAAAAAGAUCACAGAGCGCUACACACUGGAGCCAGGUGACCGGUUGGCUCCACUCUUGUGAGUUGUGAAUUACCAUUUAUUUUCUGUUCACAUCCAUAUAUAGUUCAUACUAUCUGCACUAUGUGUAUGUUGCAUAUUACUUACAGAUCACUGUGAAGGAAUACCAUUGAAUUUAUUUGUCAUUUUUCCAAGUACUUCAGGUACUUUAAAGCUCCACUUAUAUUCUUUUUUCU